CCUACGGGAGGCAGCAGUGGGGGAUAUUGCACAAUGGGGGGAACCCUGAUGCAGCGACGCCGCGUGGGUGAAGGAGCGUUUCGGCGCGUAAAGCCCUAUCGGCAGGGAAGAAGGAGGACGGUACCUGACUAAGAAGCCCCGGCUAACUACGUGCCAGCAGCCGCGGGAAUACGUAGGGGGCAAGCGUUAUCCGGAUUUACUGGGUGUAAAGGGGGCGCAGACGGCAGCGCAAGCCAGGAGUGAAAGCCCGGGGCCCAACCCCGGGACUGCUCUUGGAACUGCGCGGCUUGAGUGCAGGAGGGGCAGGCGGAAUUCCUGGUGUAGCGGUGAAAUGCGUAGAUAUCAGGAGGAACACCGGUGGCGAAGGCGGCCUGCUGGACUGCGACUGACGUUGAGGCCCGAAAGCGUGGGGAGCAAACAGGAUUAGAUACCCCGGUAGUC
This 441-nucleotide ribosomal RNA is filed under the name uncultured bacterium. RNAcentral describes it as "partial 16S ribosomal RNA". It matches the Rfam family "Bacterial small subunit ribosomal RNA", at positions 338 to 795 of the family's 1533-position model. The record is from RNAcentral.